This 404-nucleotide ribosomal RNA is filed under the name Acidobacteriota bacterium. RNAcentral describes it as "Acidobacteria bacterium partial 16S ribosomal RNA". It matches the Rfam family "Bacterial small subunit ribosomal RNA", at positions 355 to 776 of the family's 1533-position model. Lineage: Bacteria; Pseudomonadati; Acidobacteriota. The record is from RNAcentral.
UGGGGAAUAUUGCACAAUGGGGGAAACCCUGAUGCAGCGACGCCGCGUGAGCGAUGAAGUAUUUCGGUAUGUAAAGCUCUAUCAGCAGGGAAGAUAAUGACGGUACCUGACUAAGAAGCUCCGGCUAAAUACGUGCCAGCAGCCGCGGUAAUACGUAUGGAGCAAGCGUUAUCCGGAUUUACUGGGUGUAAAGGGAGCGUAGGCGGUCCUGCAAGUCUGAUGUGAAAACCCGGGGCUCAACCCCGGGACUGCAUUGGAAACUGUAGGACUAGAGUGUGGGAGGGGUAAGUGGAAUUCCGAGGGUAGCGGUGAAAUGCGUAGAUAUUAGGAGGAAAACCAGUGGCGAAGGCGGCUUACUGGACGACCACUGACGCGGAGGCUCGAAAGCGUGGGGAGCAAAAAGG